UACGUAGGGGGCAAGCGUUGUCCGGAUUUAUUGGGCGUAAAGAGCGUGUAGGCGGCCAGGUAGGUCAGCUGUGAAAACUCGAGGCUCAACCUCGAGACGCCGGUUGAAACCAUCUGGCUAGAGUCCGGAAGAGGAGAGUGGAAUUCCUGGUGUAGCGGUGAAAUGCGCAGAUAUCAGGAAGAACGCCCGUGGCGAAGGCGGCUCUCUAGUACGGUACUGACGCUGAGACGCGAAGCGUGGGGAGCGAACAGG
This 252-nucleotide ribosomal RNA is filed under the name uncultured bacterium. RNAcentral describes it as "partial 16S ribosomal RNA". It matches the Rfam family "Bacterial small subunit ribosomal RNA", at positions 524 to 776 of the family's 1533-position model. The record is from RNAcentral.